GACGAACGCUGGCGGCGUGCUUAACACAUGCAAGUCGAACGAGAAUCUACUGAAAGAGUUUUCGGACAAUGGCAGUAGAGGAAAGUGGCGGACGGGUGAGUAACGCGUGAGGAACCUGCCUUGAAGAGGGGGACAACAGUUGGAAACGACUGCUAAUACCGCAUGAAGCAUAGGGGUCGCAUGAUUCUUAUGCCAAAGAUUUAUCGCUUCAAGAUGGCCUCGCGUCUGAUUAGCUGGUUGGCGGGGUAACGGCCCACCAAGGCGACGAUCAGUAGCCGGACUGAGAGGUUGAACGGCCACAUUGGGACUGAGAUACGGCCCAGACUCCUACGGGAGGCAGCAGUGGGGAAUAUUGGGCAAUGGGCGCAAGCCUGACCCAGCAACGCCGCGUGAAGGAAGAAGGCUUUCGGGUUGUAAACUUCUUUUAAGAGGGAAGAGCAGAAGACGGUACCUCUAGAAUAAGCCACGGCUAACUACGUG
Molecule: ribosomal RNA, 480 nt
Filed under: uncultured bacterium
Lineage: Bacteria
Description: partial 16S ribosomal RNA
Rfam family: Bacterial small subunit ribosomal RNA
Source: RNAcentral